UAGGGAAUAUUGCGCAAUGGAGGAAACUCUGACGCAGCGACGCCGCGUGAGUGAUGAAGGCCUUAGGGUCGUAAAGCUCUGUCGUAAGGGAAUAAGUUCUGAAGGUACCUUACAAGAAAGGAUCGGCUAACUUCGUGCCAGCAGCCGCGGUAAGACGAGGGAUCCUAGCGUUGUCCGGAAUUAUUGGGCGUAAAGCGGGUGUAGGUGGCUUAACAAGUCAGGAGUGAAAGCCCUGGGCUCAACCCAGGAAGUGCUUUUGAAACUGUUAAGCUUGAGUAUUGGAGAGGGUAGUGGAAUUCCUGGUGUAGUGGUGAAAUACGUAGAUAUCAGGAGGAAUACCGGUGGCGAAGGCGGCUACCUGGCCAAAUACUGACACUCAGACCCGAAAGCAUGGGGAGCAAACAGG
Molecule: ribosomal RNA, 406 nt
Filed under: uncultured bacterium
Lineage: Bacteria
Description: bacterial SSU rRNA
Rfam family: Bacterial small subunit ribosomal RNA
Source: RNAcentral